This is a non-coding RNA of Macaca mulatta (Rhesus monkey), 1057 nucleotides long. NCBI's taxonomy places the organism in Eukaryota, Metazoa, Chordata, Mammalia, Primates, Cercopithecidae. The record is from RefSeq and is a predicted model, not a curated record.
AGACCACAUUCAGAUGCCAAAGAUUCUUGCUUGGUUAUUCUCAAACUUAUGAGAAUCUAAAACGCGAGCCACGGUAUGGAUUUUCUCUUGAGCCCCCAUGACUUUGCCUUGUAUUUUGGGCAUGAAUGACUUCAUCAAGGGGAAAGAAUUUGAGGAAGGAGCCUCUGAGGCUAGGAGGGGGUGGGAAGGGGUUGGGGGAAGAGGAGGGAAAAGGAGCUGUAGAGGGAGGAACCAGGCUGGGGCUGGGGCGUCUCCCCAUGAUGCUCCCCCACCCCUGGCGCGAGGCCCCAGGGACUGACUGAUUUUCCCACAGGAAAUGUGUAUGAUUGCAUGUCUGUUUUGUGGGCUGGCCAUUUGGAUUGAGGGAAUGUCUGUGUUGUGAUUCCUUAUUGAUUCGAAGGUUGGAAAGGUUUGUGCUCAAUACAGGGGUCUCUUGGUGCGAUGGGAAAUGUGAUCGCAGCCGCCUUCAGGGUGGGGAGAGCCCUCGAGGCCCUCAGUGGUGGCCGGUGUCGGCCUUCGCUUCCCUGGGUGAGCUGCCCUCAGGGUGGGAAGGGAGGUCCUCGGUGGUGGCCGCUGUUGGCCUUCGCCUCCCUGGGUGAGGGCUGCUCCAUCCCCGGCUCUCCGACUCCUUGCCUGGCACCUUCCUCGUUGGAGGCCGUGAUCCAUCAACUUUGUCCACGCGUGUCCUGCAGACUAAUGCUGACUGGAGGUUCAGGAGUGGUCAGAGGAGGCCAGAGGAGGCCCUCGUGAUGCGAAGCUAAACGUUUAAUGAUGGCGCUGUUGAGUGCAUGAGCCGCGUCAGCCCAAGAGUCUGGGGCGAGGCUUGCUGCAGGGGCUACAGAGUCCAAGAAGCCCCAGGACCCACAGGCUGCAAGCUAGAGUCCUGGGAGGGUGUGGCUUGAAGACUUGAGAAGCGGAGGGUGCAGAUCCCACCGGGGUCUGAGGAGCUGAGACCCAGAAGCACGGGCUGCAGAAGACAGAUGUCACUGGCCCAUCAGCCAGACAGUGCCCAGGAGGCUGAUGCCACAUAGAAGACCUGCAGGUCAGUGGACAUGAA